GGUCUUGUAGUUCAAUUGGUAGAACGCCCUAGAGAACGUGUCAGUGAUCAGUAGGCUCUUGGAGCGAUAAUACACGGGGCUGGCACGAUCUCUUGGGAGGUGUCUGUUCGAAUCAGACCUCGGCCA
Molecule: non-coding RNA, 126 nt
Organism: Orbilia ellipsospora
Lineage: Eukaryota; Fungi; Ascomycota; Orbiliomycetes; Orbiliales; Orbiliaceae
Source: the annotation of a GenBank genome assembly